RNAcentral lists this ribosomal RNA (330 nucleotides) under uncultured bacterium. RNAcentral's name for it is "bacterial SSU rRNA". It matches the Rfam family "Bacterial small subunit ribosomal RNA", at positions 568 to 898 of the family's 1533-position model. RNAcentral also lists the same sequence under 1 other name. The record is from RNAcentral.
UGCGCAGGCGGUUCGUUAAGACAGAUGUGAAAUCCCCGGGCUUAACCUGGGAACUGCAUUUGUGACUGGCGGGCUAGAGUAUGGCAGAGGGGGGUAGAAUUCCACGUGUAGCAGUGAAAUGCGUAGAGAUGUGGAGGAAUACCGAUGGCGAAGGCAGCCCCCUGGGCCAAUACUGACGCUCAUGCACGAAAGCGUGGGGAGCAAACAGGAUUAGAUACCCUGGUAGUCCACGCCCUAAACGAUGUCAACUAGUUGUCGGGUCUUCAUUGACUUGGUAACGUAGCUAACGCGUGAAGUUGACCGCCUGGGGAGUACGGUCGCAAGAUUAAA